RNAcentral lists this long non-coding RNA (388 nucleotides) under Mytilus galloprovincialis (Mediterranean mussel). Lineage: Eukaryota; Metazoa; Mollusca; Bivalvia; Mytilida; Mytilidae. The record is from RNAcentral.
ACGAGUAUACAUGACUGAUACACGAUUCCAUAAAAAAAUGUGUGCAGCUCUGAUUAACUCUCAUAACUUUGCUUCUGUAAAAAAAUAUUGUCACUAAUUUUUUUAACUGUACACAAACCCCUCCAUGUACAGUACUUGUCGGUACUUUUGCAAAGAGGGAUAAAAUUUUAAAAGAGAGAUAAAAAAUACCAAAGAAACAAUCAAACUCAAAGGUAGAAAACAAACCGACACAGCCAAAGCGAAAAAUAGAAGCUGACGAGAAGACAAACAGUAGUACACAUUACACAACAUAGGAAACUAAAAACUUAGCAACACGAAACCCAAUAAAACCUGGAAUGAUCUCAGGUGUUUCGGAAAGGAAAUUUAAGUAGAUCCUGCAUUUUGGCCC